GCGUAGCUCAACGGUAGAGCAGCUGAUUUGUAAUCAGCAGGUUGCGGGUUCGAGUCCCAUUGC
Molecule: transfer RNA, 63 nt
Filed under: Deltaproteobacteria bacterium
Lineage: Bacteria; Pseudomonadati; Myxococcota; Myxococcia
Description: tRNA-Thr
Rfam family: tRNA
About the family: Transfer RNA (tRNA) molecules are approximately 80 nucleotides in length. Their secondary structure includes four short double-helical elements and three loops (D, anti-codon, and T loops).
Source: RNAcentral